GGCGGUGGUCAAACGGUUAUCACCGUGGGCUCUGAACCCUUCAGUCCCGGGUUCGAGUCUCCUGCGCCGCCA
RNAcentral lists this transfer RNA (72 nucleotides) under Fasciola gigantica. RNAcentral's name for it is "tRNA-Gln". The record is from RNAcentral. Lineage: Eukaryota; Metazoa; Platyhelminthes; Trematoda; Plagiorchiida; Fasciolidae.